Molecule: ribosomal RNA, 104 nt
Filed under: Meriones unguiculatus (Mongolian gerbil)
Lineage: Eukaryota; Metazoa; Chordata; Mammalia; Rodentia; Muridae
Source: RNAcentral
UCUACACCCCUCUGAAUCUACCCCAUCCUGUCUGACCUUGGAGGCUAAGCAGUGCCAGGCCCAGUUAACACUUGAAUGGGAGACAGUACAGGAUAGGGAAUGAA